RNAcentral lists this ribosomal RNA (429 nucleotides) under Verrucomicrobiota bacterium. RNAcentral's name for it is "Verrucomicrobia bacterium partial 16S ribosomal RNA". It matches the Rfam family "Bacterial small subunit ribosomal RNA", at positions 355 to 776 of the family's 1533-position model. The record is from RNAcentral. Lineage: Bacteria; Pseudomonadati; Verrucomicrobiota.
UAGGGAAUCUUCCGCAAUGGACGAACGUCUGACGGAGCAACGCCGCGUGAGUGAAGAAGGAUUUCGGUUCGUAAAACUCUGUUGUUAGGGAAGAAAAAAUGUAUAGUAACUAUAUACAAAAGAGACGGUACCUAACCCGAAAGCCACGGCUAACUACGUGCCAGCAGCCGCGGUAAUACGUAGGUGGCAAGCGUCGUCCGGAAUUAUUGGGCGUAAAGCGCGCGCAGGUGGUUUAGAAAGUCUGAUGUGAAAACCCACGGCUCAACCGUGGAGGGUCAGUGGAAACUAAUAAACUUGAGUGCAGGAGAGAAAAGUGGAAUUCCUAGUGUAGCGGUGAAAUGCGUAGAUAGUGGGAGGAACACCAGUAGCGAAGGCGGCUUUCUGGACUGCAACUGACACUGAGGAACGAAAGCGUGGGUAGCAAAAAGG